AAGCGCGAGCGCUCUCCGCCGUUCCUCCGUUUAAAGCCAAACGCGGCCGUUACAGCCGUUACAGUGAGCGGGUCUCUCAGGUCGCUACCGCGGGCAGUUUAUCGAGUUUGUUUAGCGAGUGUUAAACCUGAUAAGACUCUCUCACACUCCUUACUGAGACAGCGCCGCCUGCCGGGUGACGCUUUCAGCUCCCAGAAACGAGGAUUUUCAGCUGCGUAGCUGACUAACGAUAACUACUGACUGGACCGAGUGGAGUGGAGACUGGAGUCCCGACUGCAGCGGUCAGAGUCUGCUUUUAAAAGAUGUUUCUCAUCAGAAAUCAUCUGAAGCUGAGCAACUGGAACAUUCUCUCUUUGGGCCUCAUCCAGUAUGGUGGCAGUCCAUAUCAUUCCCAACACUCAACUGUGCUCUUACACAAGUGGCCUCAUCCUGAUGCUUCUUUCAUUACACUGAACAUCAUUGUCUGAACAUCAGCUAUGCGUGUGAGCUGGGUGCCACGCUGGAGUUCAUGCAUAGGUAUCAUUUAAAGCCUUGUCACAUUUCUUUGUGUACUAAAUGCCUGAGUUGAUUUUAGAUGAGUAAAAUUAUGUAUACUGUACAUUAUAUUCUACUUAUAAAGGGAAUAUAUAAUGCUUUCCCUUUUAUUUACUGUGUUAUGUAGCUUUUUGUGCAUGUAAGAUACAAAGCUGAAAGUAUAUGCCAGAGGGAGAAACUCUCUCCCACAGAAACCACUUUUCUCAGCUGCCUGAGGGCUGGAGUUCCCCAGCCCUUUUCCUUUGUUACAAGAUGAUGUAAUCCCAUAACACAAUCCUUAUUGCCCACCUACCAGCGAGCUUGGCACACCCUCACACAACGCAACGCAUCUACCGGAGCCCGUGUAUUGGCGGAACCGCUCUGGUGCUUGAUCAGUCAGAGCCAAGUGAGCGAGCUAACUAAUCUGAGCAUACUGGGCUCAUCAGGAAGGAGGGGCUUAAAGACACUGGAGCUCUAACAGAGUGUUUCAGACAGAGGGUGAGUAGACAAUUACAGUAUGAGAAAAAUAAUGUGUUUCUGGAACACUGAAGCAUGCAAAUGUAUUAUAGUCGACCCCAAAAAUAAAUUUAUGAACAUUGGAAAUUAGCAUAACAGGUCCCCUCUCAAUUCAGCCUGCUUGUGUAUGCAGAUCCAAAAGUAAUUUCAAAUUUAUUGUCUUAAAAUUGAUUUUUUAACAGAUGCAUUUUCCUCAUAUCUCUGACAAAGAAGACCAACACUGAGAAAAAACAGAGGAAGAAGCGAUGGGCUGUGAAUCUGACAGUUCUCUCACUCAUCACGGAUUUAACUCUAAAAGGAGAGAUCGGUAACAUUAGCAGUGCGAUAUCAGUAAUGUUAGUGUUCAGGCAUUACGGCAUGGACAUAUGCACACUGAGUUAUCUGUGUCCUGUUUCCUGUGUCCACAUAUGUCCACAGCUUGACUCUAUUCCAGCUACCAGCACAUCUGAGUCUGGUAUUAAUUGUUUGACAGCUGAUCAUUAUCUGGCUCAGGUAUGUUAUGAGUACUGCUGGGGUUCAGACCUCUGUAUUACUCUGUUGGUCAGUUUUUCUUUUUAGUCCAUAUUAAUUUGUCUUAAAAAUGUUUCCUAUCAUUUAUAAUUGUUCAUAGUACUAUAUUGUUAAUAACCUCAGCACAACUUAUAUA
Long non-coding RNA from Colossoma macropomum (tambaqui), 1675 nucleotides. RefSeq lists it as uncharacterized. Lineage: Eukaryota; Metazoa; Chordata; Actinopteri; Characiformes; Serrasalmidae. The record is from RefSeq and is a predicted model, not a curated record. The transcript has 3 exons.